GUGCAGCAGUCGAGAAUCCUCCGCAAUACACGAAAGUGUGACGGGGCCAUCCCGAGUGCCGUCCGCUGAGGACGGCUUUUCCCCAGUGUACACAGCUGGGGGAAUAAGGAGAGGGCAAGCCUGGUGUCAGCCGCCGCGGUAAUACCAGCUCUCCGAGUGGUGGGGACGCUUAUUGGGCCUAAAGCAUCCGUAGCCGGCUGGGCAAGUCCUCCGUUAAAUCCAACGAUUCAAUCGUUGGGCUGCGGGGGAUACUGUCCAGCUUGGGGGCGGGAGAGGCCGACGGUAUUCCCGGGGUAGGGGUGAAAAUCCUAUAAUCCCGGGAGGACCACCAGUGGCGAAGGCUGUCGGCUAGAACGCGCCCGACGGUGAGGGAUGAAAGCUGGGGGAGCGAACCGGAUUAGAUACCCCGGUAGUCCCUGAG
RNAcentral lists this ribosomal RNA (421 nucleotides) under uncultured microorganism. RNAcentral's name for it is "bacterial SSU rRNA". It matches the Rfam family "Archaeal small subunit ribosomal RNA", at positions 330 to 752 of the family's 1478-position model. The record is from RNAcentral.